Molecule: ribosomal RNA, 253 nt
Filed under: uncultured bacterium
Lineage: Bacteria
Description: partial 16S ribosomal RNA
Rfam family: Bacterial small subunit ribosomal RNA
Source: RNAcentral
UACGAAGGGGGCUAGCGUUGCUCGGAAUCACUGGGCGUAAAGAGCUCGUAGGUGGUUUGUCGCGUUGUUCGUGAAAACUCACAACUCAAUUGUGGGCGUGCGGGCGAUACGGGCAGACUGGAGUACUGCAGGGGAGACUGGAAUUCCUGGUGUAGCGGUGGAAUGCGCAGAUAUCAGGAGGAACACCGGUGGCGAAGGCGGGUCUCUGGGCAGUAACUGACGCUGAGGAGCGAAAGCGUGGGGAGCGAACAGG